AUAUCAAUAAGCGGAGGAAAAGAAACUAACAAGGAUUCCCCCAGUAACGGCGAGUGAAGAGGGAAAAGCUCAAAUUUUGAAUCUGGUGUCUUUGGCACCCGAGUUGUAAUCUAGAGAAGUGUUUUCUGUGUCGGACCAUGCACAAGUCUCCUGGAAUGGGGUGUCAUAGAGGGUGAGAAUCCCGUAUAUGGCAUGGACCCUGGCACUCUGUGAUACACUCUCAACGAGUCGAGUUGUUUGGGAAUGCAGCUCAAAAUGGGUGGUGAAUUCCAUCUAAAGCUAAAUAUUGGCGAGAGACCGAUAGCGAACAAGUACCGUGAGGGAAAGAUGAAAAGCACUUUGGAAAGAGAGUGAAACAGUACGUGAAAUUGUUGAAAGGGAAGCGUUUGAAGUCAGUCGUGUCAUUUGGAAUUCAGCCUGGCUUCUGCCUGGUGAAUUUUCCGUCUGACAGGUCAGCAUCAGUUUCAAUCAGGGGAAAAAGGUGUGGGGAAUGUGGCUGUCUUCGGGCAGUGUUUAUAGCUUCACAUUGUAUGCCUUGACUGGGACUGAGGAAUGCAGCGCGCCUAUUGGCCGGGGGUUCGCGCCCCUCGGUACGCGCUUAGGAUGCUGGCAUAAUGGCUUUAAGCGA
RNAcentral lists this ribosomal RNA (628 nucleotides) under uncultured fungus. RNAcentral describes it as "eukaryotic LSU rRNA". It matches the Rfam family "Eukaryotic large subunit ribosomal RNA", at positions 40 to 647 of the family's 3401-position model. Lineage: Eukaryota; Fungi. The record is from RNAcentral.